This 253-nucleotide ribosomal RNA is filed under the name uncultured bacterium. RNAcentral's name for it is "partial 16S ribosomal RNA". It matches the Rfam family "Bacterial small subunit ribosomal RNA", at positions 524 to 776 of the family's 1533-position model. The record is from RNAcentral.
UACGAACUGUGCGAACGUUAUUCGGAAUCACUGGGCUUACAGGGUGCGUAGGCGGCUAUUCAGGUCAGGUGUGAAAGCCCCCGGCUCAACCGGGGAGUGCGGCUGCGAACUGGGUUUCUUGAGGACGAUAGAGGAGAGUGGAAUUCCUGGUGUAGCGGUGAAAUGCGUAGAUAUCAGGAGGAACACCCGAGGCGAAGGCGGCUCUCUGGGUCGUACCUGACGCUGAGGCGCGAAAGCGUGGGGAGCGAACGGG